CAGCUUCUCUAACAUAUAUUUGUCGCACAAAUGAGCAUAAAAAAGGGAAGAGCUGCUUUAGAUCCAAUCAAUCUUAAAAACAUUGAUUUGAUGGAAGAAUGGGUAGGUGAAGAAUCUGAGCUUCUUAAUGGAGAAGAUUUGGAUUGGGCAAGUAUUGAGGAGCCAUUAGCCUCACUAAAUGAGGAAGACAAUGAAAA
Molecule: long non-coding RNA, 197 nt
Organism: Juglans microcarpa x Juglans regia
Lineage: Eukaryota; Viridiplantae; Streptophyta; Magnoliopsida; Fagales; Juglandaceae
Exons: 4
Source: RefSeq, a predicted model, not a curated record